RNAcentral lists this ribosomal RNA (115 nucleotides) under Petromyzon marinus (sea lamprey). The record is from RNAcentral. Lineage: Eukaryota; Metazoa; Chordata; Hyperoartia; Petromyzontiformes; Petromyzontidae.
CCCUAUGACCAAAUCACCUGGAAUGGGCCUGAUAUCAAAUCUUGGAAACUAAGCAGGGUUGAGCCUGGAUAGUACUUGGAUGGGCGACUACCAUGCAAAACAGGUGAUGUAGGCU